UACGUAGGUGGCAAGCGUUAUCCGGAAUUAUUGGGCGUAAAGCGCGCGCAGGCGGUCCUUUAAGUCUGAUGUGAAAGCCCACGGCUCAACCGUGGAGGGUCAUUGGAAACUGGGGGACUUGAGUGCAGAAGAGGAGAGCGGAAUUCCACGUGUAGCGGUGAAAUGCGUAGAGAUCCGGAGGAACACCAGUGGCGAAGGCGGCCUUCUGGGUCCGCCCUGACGCUGAGGCGCGAAAGCGUGGGGAGCGAACGGG
RNAcentral lists this ribosomal RNA (253 nucleotides) under uncultured bacterium. Its description in RNAcentral is "partial 16S ribosomal RNA". It matches the Rfam family "Bacterial small subunit ribosomal RNA", at positions 524 to 776 of the family's 1533-position model. The record is from RNAcentral.